This 230-nucleotide ribosomal RNA is filed under the name uncultured bacterium. RNAcentral's name for it is "partial 16S ribosomal RNA". It matches the Rfam family "Bacterial small subunit ribosomal RNA", at positions 524 to 750 of the family's 1533-position model. The record is from RNAcentral.
UACGUAGGGUGCAAGCGUUGUCCGGAAUUAUUGGGCGUAAAGAGCUCGUAGGCGGUUUGUCGCGUCUGCUGUGAAAACCCGAGGCUCAACCUCGGGCCUGCAGUGGGUACGGGCAGACUAGAGUGCGGUAGGGGAGAUUGGAACUCCUGGUGUAGCGGUGGAAUGCGUAGAGAUCGGAAAAGAACACCAACGGCGGAAACGCACUCUGCUGGGCCGACACUGACACUGGA